This is a long non-coding RNA of Amphimedon queenslandica, 372 nucleotides long. RefSeq lists it as uncharacterized. Lineage: Eukaryota; Metazoa; Porifera; Demospongiae; Haplosclerida; Niphatidae. The transcript has 2 exons. The record is from RefSeq and is a predicted model, not a curated record.
UUCAUUGUGUAUUGUAUAAUGUGUGUACAUUAUUAGAUAUUCAUGUACAUGUACAUGUAGGUUGGGAGUCUCAGUUACUUGAAAUGGGUUUCCUUGCAAUGUUCUUAUCUCCAGUUUUGAGUUAUAACCAGUUUCCACGUCACACGCCCACAAGCUGGACCAAUGUCUGGGGAAAUCCCUGGAUAAUAUUCCACAUUAUGAUUGGAGCUGGUUUGAUAAAGAUGAGAGGUGGUACCUGUUGGAGGGACUUGACUUGUAUAAACUAUCAUUAUGAGGUUUGUACAUUGUAUAUUGUAUAGUGUAUGAUGCUUUAAUGUGGUGGAGUUUCAGUUUGACAUUUUGUGAUCUGAGAUUGAUUUAUAAUCAGCAUAA